RNAcentral lists this ribosomal RNA (331 nucleotides) under uncultured Anaerolineaceae bacterium. RNAcentral's name for it is "bacterial SSU rRNA". It matches the Rfam family "Bacterial small subunit ribosomal RNA", at positions 1039 to 1382 of the family's 1533-position model. The record is from RNAcentral. Lineage: Bacteria; Bacillati; Chloroflexota; Anaerolineae; Anaerolineales; Anaerolineaceae.
UGCUGCAUGGCUGUCGUCAGCUCGUGUCGUGAGAUGUUCGGUUAAGUCCGCUAACGAGCGCAACCCUCGCUGUGUGUUACAAGUGUCACACGGAACUGCCGGUCAUAAACCGGAGGAAGGUGGGGAUGACGUCAAGUCAGCAUGGCCUUUAUAUCCUGGGCUACACACACGCUACAAUGGGAAGGGACAAUAGGUUGCGAAGCCGCGAGGUGGAGCCAAUCCAGCAAAACUUCCCUCAGUUCAGAUUGCAGGCUGCAACUCGCCUGCAUGAAGUUGGAGUUGCUAGUAAACGCAGGUCAGCCAUACUGCGUUGAAUACGUUCCCGGGGCUU